GACGUAGGAGGCGAGCGUUGUCCGGAUUCAUUGGGCGUAAAGAGCACGCAGGCGGUUUGGCAAGUCGGAUGUGAAAACCCGGAGCUCAACUCCGGACCUGCAUCCGAAACUGCCCGACUAGAGGUAGGUAGGGGAGAUCGGAAUUCCUGGUGUAGCGGUGAAAUGCGCAGAUAUCAGGAGGAACACCGGUGGCGAAGGCGGGUCUCUGGGCAACUACUGACGCUGAGGAGCGAAAGCGUGGGGAGCGAACAGG
This 253-nucleotide ribosomal RNA is filed under the name uncultured bacterium. RNAcentral describes it as "partial 16S ribosomal RNA". It matches the Rfam family "Bacterial small subunit ribosomal RNA", at positions 524 to 776 of the family's 1533-position model. The record is from RNAcentral.